This 256-nucleotide ribosomal RNA is filed under the name uncultured bacterium. RNAcentral describes it as "partial 16S ribosomal RNA". It matches the Rfam family "Bacterial small subunit ribosomal RNA", at positions 524 to 776 of the family's 1533-position model. The record is from RNAcentral.
UACGAAGGGGGCUAGCGUUGCUCGGAAUCACUGGGCGUAAAGGGUGCGUAGGCGGGUUUUUAAGUCAGAGGUGAAAUCCUGGAGCUCAACUCCAGAACUGCCUUUGAUACUGAAAGUCUUGAGUAUGGGAGAGGUGAGUGGAACUGCGAGUGUAGAGGUGAAAAUUCGUAGAUAUUCGCAAGAACACCAGUGGCGAAGGCGGCUCACUGGCCCGAUACUGACGCUGAGGCACGAAAAGCGUGGGGGAGCAAACAGG